AUGAGGCUGUUGGGUCUUCUUCUCUGCCUGGUGACAGGUCCCCAAGGUGUCCACUCCCAGGUGCAGCUGCAACAGCAACAGCGAGGCCCAGGCCUGGUGAAGCCCUCACAGACCCUCACCCUCACCUGUGCUGUCUCUGGAUUCUCCAUCACAACCAGUAGUUACUACUGGAGCUGGAUCUGCCAGCCCCCAGGGAAGGGACUAGAGUGGAUAGGGUACAUAGGGUAUGAUGGUAGCACUUACUACAGCCCAUCACUCAGGAGCCGCAUCUCCAUCUCCAGAGACACGUCCAAAAAUCAGUUCUCCCCGCAGCUGAGCUCUGUGACCGCCGAAGACACAGCCGUGUAUUACUGUGCGAGAGACACAGUGAGGGGAAGUCAGUGUGAGCCUGGACACAAACCUCCCGGCACCAGGGCUCAUAACCACCAGGUGUCACUCUGGACCCACCAAGUACAGGGCUGA
This is a non-coding RNA of Balaenoptera ricei (Rice's whale), 462 nucleotides long. The record is from the annotation of a RefSeq genome assembly. Lineage: Eukaryota; Metazoa; Chordata; Mammalia; Artiodactyla; Balaenopteridae.